UUCUCUGACCGUUGAACCUACGUUCUUACUUAACUUUCUGGAUUUUUUAACGUGAAUGUAUAUGUAAUAGGGUCUAGAAAUAUUUCUACAAUAUAUAUUUACUUACACGCAUACCUAUUAAUUCCAGGAUGUGCAAUACGACGAACCUCCGCCAUUUACAAUAAUAAUAUCGGUGUAAAUAACAAUCAACAGCUCAGUGUAAUGCUAUCGUAGUGGUUUAACACCAAUACCUAUUAAAUUAUUAAAAACUCGGUAAUUCUAACUAGUUUACACAAUGAUUAUUUGGAUCACUGAAAUUGCUUGUACAUUAACGUGUGUCCUAACAUGAAACCUCGUCCGGUCCACAUUGUUGAAGUUGUAAUAAGUAAUACCCAAUAUAAGUACAUGUUUUGUUCAUUCACGUUUAGAAAUAAAAUAGUACUCGAACCUCGAUCACGUAGAUCACUUGUAUUUUCAAUUAAAAUGAGUGCAAAGGUAAAUGGUGCUUGUGACCCUAUUUUAACGUGAAGUUAAGUCCUAUGUUUUUGUGCCUUUUUGCAAAUUCGUGAUAUGUGCUAGUGCGAAAUACUUGUCUACUUACUAAAACAACUAUCAGUCUCCUGUGCAGUAUUAUGCAUCCUCAGUUUAUGCUUCGGACAAGAAAACUCCACUCAGAAGUUAGUAACACAAGGUACCUCCAACGAAACAAGUGAUUCGGAAUCAGAUGAGUCAGAGUGGAUAUCAGACGAUAAGGAUAUGGACCAGGAUGCCAGCAUUUGGCGAAUUUGGCGACCGUUCUGGAACUGGGGUCAAUCAAUGCUUAGUAAGAAGUUUACACGCUUUCCUACAUUAAAGGAAAACGAGAAUGGUGGACUACAUUACCAUCGAGACAGACCUAAACGCAAGUUAAAAAAUAAAAUAAAACUGCUCUUUAAAUUAAAACAA
This is a long non-coding RNA of Helicoverpa armigera (cotton bollworm), 924 nucleotides long. RefSeq lists it as uncharacterized. Lineage: Eukaryota; Metazoa; Arthropoda; Insecta; Lepidoptera; Noctuidae. The record is from RefSeq and is a predicted model, not a curated record. The transcript has 3 exons.